This 497-nucleotide ribosomal RNA is filed under the name uncultured bacterium. RNAcentral describes it as "partial 16S ribosomal RNA". It matches the Rfam family "Bacterial small subunit ribosomal RNA", at positions 28 to 507 of the family's 1533-position model. The record is from RNAcentral.
GAUGAACGCUGGCGGCGUGCCUAAUACAUGCAAGUCGAGCGAACAGACGAGGAGCUUGCUCCUCUGACGUUAGCGGCGGACGGGUGAGUAACACGUGGAUAACCUACCUAUAAGACUGGGAUAACUUCGGGAAACCGGAGCUAAUACCGGAUAAUAUAUUGAACCGCAUGGUUCAAUAGUGAAAGACGGUUUUGCUGUCACUUCUAGAUGGAUCCGCGCCGCAUUAGCUAGUUGGGAAGGUAACGGCUUACCAAGGCAACGAUGCGUAGCCGACCUGAUAGGGUGAUCGGCCACACUGGAACUGAGACAGGGUCCAGACUCCUACGGGAGGGAGCAGUAGGGAAUCGGCCGCAAUGGGCGAAAGCCUUACGGAGCAACGCCGCGUGAGUGAUGAAGGUCUUCGGAUCGUAAAACUCUGUUAUUAGGGAAGAACAAAUGUGUAAGUAACUAUGCACGUCUUGACGGUACCGAAUCAGAAAGCCACGGCUAACUACGUG